UGGGGUAUCGCCAAGCGGUAAGGCACCGGAUUCUGAUUCCGGCAUUCCGAGGUUCGAAUCCUCGUACCCCAGCCG
Molecule: transfer RNA, 75 nt
Filed under: Salmonella enterica
Lineage: Bacteria; Pseudomonadati; Pseudomonadota; Gammaproteobacteria; Enterobacterales; Enterobacteriaceae
Also listed under: 1 other name
Description: tRNA-Gln
Rfam family: tRNA
About the family: Transfer RNA (tRNA) molecules are approximately 80 nucleotides in length. Their secondary structure includes four short double-helical elements and three loops (D, anti-codon, and T loops). Further hydrogen bonds mediate the characteristic L-shaped molecular structure. tRNAs have two regions of fundamental functional importance: the anti-codon, which is responsible for specific mRNA codon recognition, and the 3' end, to which the tRNAs corresponding amino acid is attached (by aminoacyl-tRNA synthetases). tRNAs cope with the degeneracy of the genetic code in two manners: having more than one tRNA (with a specific anti-codon) for a particular amino acid; and 'wobble' base-pairing, i.e. permitting non-standard base-pairing at the 3rd anti-codon position.
Source: RNAcentral